Long non-coding RNA from Salvia miltiorrhiza (redroot sage), 2595 nucleotides. RefSeq lists it as uncharacterized. Lineage: Eukaryota; Viridiplantae; Streptophyta; Magnoliopsida; Lamiales; Lamiaceae. The record is from RefSeq and is a predicted model, not a curated record. The transcript has 2 exons.
AAAUAAAAGGGCACGAACCCUAACAUUUGCGAGCGCCGCUGCUGCUCCUUCUCUUUCUCCUUCUUUUCCACACUAUUUAUCUUCCACUGCAGUCCCCAUUUUAUUGUGUUCAUUUUGGCUGAAGAAAAUAUAUUCUCUUCCUACAAUAAUAUUAUCGUGUUCUUCCUUUUUUUUUUUGGAAUUGGAUUAGAGUAACGAAAUCAAUUACAAAAUCGAAAUCGCUGUGACGACUCGGAAAAUUCAAGCUCAACAGACCGGAUUGCAGCUCCCUCUUCUGAAGAACAUUGAGGACGUUUGCCGGCAGAAUCGAACCAAUUACUUAAUUUGCCACCACUGAGUAAACGAAUACAUUUCUCAUUUUGAGAUACUUAUUUCCUAUUUCUUUUUUCCAUUUAAAACUAUUUUCUAUGUGUUCUACAUUCUGAAUUUGAUUGGGAUGAAGCAAUAUUUUAAUUUCCAACACUUGGACUGAGAGGUAGGAAAUCUCACCUCUAGUGAUGCAAUAAUUUGCUACUGAAUCAUGUUUAAUAUAAUCACCGUUUAUUUUUUUUGUAUUUUUGGCUUUUUUUUAUGUUAAUUUUAAAGGAAUUAUGUGGAUAAAACACAUUUAUGUUUUGAUUUUAUUGGAGGAUCAUCAUGUGAUGAAUACACUUACAAAUCUUAGGACACCUUUGGACACAGUCUCUUUCUAGAUGUGAAUGAAAAUCAACUUUAUUCUGAUGAUGAUCAAAACUGCCUUUUUAAUUUUUUCCGUUCUUUAAAUAAAUCAAAUCUUUUCUUGUAUUUGUACGAUAUUAUGAUUAUUUGAGUUUUUUUGGCAUUGUUUAUUUUCUUUUUUAACUCCUUAUUUCUAAUAAAUUGCUUUUUUUUUCAUUGUUCGCCAAAAAUUGUGUUUGAUUAUCUCCUAAAAAUUAUUGCCAAUUAUCUCAAAAAAAAUAUGGUUCAUCAAACACUAACAAAAUUCAAUUGUUAAAAUUCUCAACUUGGUACAAAUCCAAAAUUUGAUCUAUUCAAGGUAAGAGAUUCUUCUAAAAUUUGAUCCACGGCCACGAUCGUUCCUCAACCUGCCAACCUGCUGAGCUGCCCCUGCUUAAUAUCGUUACCGUCGGGCAAAUGUUCCGGAGCAUCAGCAGGAAUGCGAUGUUGAUGGAGGGCUAUGUCCGUCUCAUCACGAACGAGACCAUUAUGGCUGCUUUCAGGCUUUCGAUCCCUAUAUUUUCUAUGACUGCUUUUCCUUCGUGAAGUUUGAGCUGUUGUUGUGUCUGCAUCAAGCAUAGCAAUCAUUUCUUGCAUAAUUGGAUUUGUUGCUGAAUUUCGACUGAAUUGUUUCCACAUUUCAUCAAUUUCAUCUGAAUGAACAUCAGACAUAUUUUUGUGAUGUGUUCAAAUGAAAAAUUGAAUAGUUGUGAAAAAGAUAAAAGAAAGUGUGUGAUUUUUGUGCUUCAAAUGCUAAAUGUAACACUUAUAUAUAGCUAAAAUAUUUAUGACCGUUAGGAUAUAGUUGUUGUGAUUGUCAGAUAAUAAUUGUGUGCUUUUAUUAUAUUUAAAACUUUUGGAUUGAGUUGUUGGACUAUAAAUAUAAAUUUUUUAUUACAUUUAUGAUCAUUGAACGUGAUUGUUGUAUUUAGGGGCGGUAAUUGGUCCGAUUUGAUUAUAAUCAAAUCGAUUUUUUGAUUAAUUAGAAUCGAUUAAUCAUGAAAUAGUGAACUGAAAAUUGAAUCAAUUUUUAAUUCGAUUAACUGAUUAAUUGCUUAACCGAAUUAAUCGGUCUUUUUUGGGGCAAUUCAGUUUAUUUUCAAAAAAAUAGACUUCACCAAAUUGAAUCACGUGAAGAAACGAUUUUUUAAAGUCUAGAACUUGCAAUAUAGAAAACACAAUCAACUUCCUAGAUUUUUUCUGCACAAAGCCCAUUAAAAAGAAUUCAAAAGCUUAGAAAAUUCUUACGAUAUUGUUCAAAUGUUAUUUAGUGUCGUUUCUUACUGUCGCGUUCACAGGUGUUCCCUAUGUAUUCUCCUCGACUCCCUGAUAUUUCUGCGGCAACAUCAAAAGUGAUCAAGAGAAAUGAAGAGAUGAUGAUGAUAUAUAGCUCAUUAGUUAUUACCAUCUAGAAGUGUUUGUGAUCUGAAACAACUUAUUCAAUUCGGUUCUGUUGCUUUGAUCCCAAAGUAUAUGCUUGACAGUUGCUGGGGCCUCGUUCAGAUCGACAAAGUUGCUACAGUUACAUCCAACUUCUGAAUGUGCCAUAACGCGUGUGGUCGUGAUCCAGAAUAGGCAACAAUAACCAGAUGAUGACGCUACUUCCAAAAGGACGAUUCUUUCAGGUACAAGGAGUAUACACUUGUGUUGUGGUAUGUGCUAAGAAUACUAACGACUUUAGCAUGCAUAUGUAGUUCAAACAUCGAUUUGCUUAAAUGCUUUUUGAAAAUAGAAUUUUGAAUUAGAUGCAACUUUGGAUAAAGGAUCGUUAUUAGAAACUCUCACUAAGUUGUACACUAUCUUUCAAGUUAGUAGGUUACAACUUACAAGUGCCUAUAUAUUAGGGUUUAUAUUUGUGAAAAAUAUGCAAGUUCUUUGGAUAUCAAGCCAGAUUCUCUA